Long non-coding RNA from Pistacia vera, 291 nucleotides. RefSeq lists it as uncharacterized. Lineage: Eukaryota; Viridiplantae; Streptophyta; Magnoliopsida; Sapindales; Anacardiaceae. The transcript is spliced from 3 exons. The record is from RefSeq and is a predicted model, not a curated record.
GAUCAAUGUCCAUGUUGCUGGAGUUAAUGACAUUGCGUUUGCUCAUUCCAACAAGCAACUGUUUAUAGUUACGUGUGGAGAUGAUAAGACUAUUAAGGUAUGGGAUGCUGUAGCUGGGUGCGGGCAGUAUAUGUUUGAAGGCCAUGAAGCUCCUGUGUAUUCGUUUGUUUUCUCUACUGCCAUUGAUGGAAAGUAAAAGCUUGGCUAUAUGAUUGCUUGAGAUCUAGAGUGGACUAUGACGCUCCUGGACACUGCUGCACCAUGAUGGCAUAUAGUGUAGAUAAAACCAGG